CGGGAAGGGCGACGGUCGGGCCCCGCCGCCAUUUGCUCGGGGCUGGGGCAGCGUCGUCGCCCGGAGUGCAGUCCUGGCUGCAUUUUCGGCUGGAAAAGCUUAGUGGCUGUUGGUAGCAAACCUAACAAAGUCAACAACAAUAAUAACUUUUUUUUUUUUUUUUUUUUUUUUUGGCUCUGGAGCUUUGCUGUCUUAGCCGGCUUUGCUCUUCUUGUAGGGAAACAAGUGUUAGUGCUUUCUGAGCUGCGUCUUGGGGUUGAACGCACAGGUGCCAUGCCAGCUGUGUGCUGUAUAGACUUUCCUAUGCCUUCGUGCUGUCACAGAGACCUCAGGUAGAAACUGGUCCAAGAGAUGCGAGUUCUGCCACUGCAGUGUAGCCUGGAUCCCACUGUCCCUGACUGGACUACAAGGGCAAACUACAAGGGCAUGUGCUGAAAGUGAAUUAGCAGUAAGAAAGGUGCAUUUCAGAGCAGAUCAAAUUAUCAGGAAGGAGGGAACUUCAAUGAGUCACAUUUUAAUUAGGUUUAAUUUCUACAGUCUCCUCUGUGUUAUAUAAUACUGUCUUGAAAAUAGCUGCUUUAGAAGGAGUCUAGAUUUUUACUUAUCUGCACUAUUCUGUGUACUUGAAUUAUAAACAUAAGAGGACACAACGUGAGAAAAAAAACAAACAAACCUCAGAACACAAUGGCUGGACUUACCACUACAGCUACUUCAGCAAAGCAAAAUGAAUGGAUUAUAUGUACAGCUGUAUGAAUAAACAAAUAAAUAAAUAACAUGGUAAUCUGCAUUUAUUUUUGGUCUUUUAGUUUACUCCCUUCUUGACUGUUUAAAUACUUCAAUGUUAGCCAAAAUAGCUGUUGUAAUUACAUUAUAAUGUAAUUAAUAAGGUUGAUUAAACAUAAGAUUUUUAUAAGAUUGUUUUGGACUUUGGAACAGCACUGUUUAUUUUAAAUUACAGUAUUGACCGUGAAGUGUAGAGGAUGCCCACCUUUUUCUAGGCCUAAAAGUUUCCUGAGGAAAGAUGAAAGAAUUUAGGGUACAAUGCGUUAUCAGUCCUUACCUUUUCUGAAAGCAUGAGAAAUGCUUCAUUACUGUGGUGGAGAUAGUAGUCUUAGAUUUCAACAAGUGUAUGCAGUUGGAGGAUGCUCUUGUUAGCUCACUCAGGUGAACCUGCCUUACAAUACUGUGCCCUACAUCUACAUUUUUAGCAAGGAUUUUAGGAGCAGCUGCCAUACUAAGAGUUCUUUUUACCUGAAACGUAGCAGAGGCAUACAUUAAUACCAAAGUCCCUUGGUGGUAAUAAGAGCAUUAACAAAUUGGCUCAA
Cygnus olor (mute swan) is the source of this 1325-nucleotide long non-coding RNA. RefSeq lists it as uncharacterized. NCBI's taxonomy places the organism in Eukaryota, Metazoa, Chordata, Aves, Anseriformes, Anatidae. The record is from RefSeq and is a predicted model, not a curated record. The transcript is spliced from 3 exons.